UAAGUCCCGCAACGAGCGCAACCCUUGUCCUUAGUUGCCAGCAUUAAGUUGGGCACUCUAAGGAGACUGCCGGUGACAAACCGGAGGAAGGUGGGGAUGACGUCAAGUCAUCAUGGCCCUUACGGCCAGGGCUACACACGUGCUACAAUGGUCGGUACAGAGGGUUGCCAAGCCGCGAGGUGGAGCUAAUCCCAUAAAACCGAUCGUAGUCCGGAUUGGAGUCUGCAACUCGACUCCAUGAAGUCGGAAUCGCUAGUAAUCGUGGAUCAGAAUGCCACGGUGAAUACGUUCCCGGGCCUU
RNAcentral lists this ribosomal RNA (300 nucleotides) under uncultured bacterium. RNAcentral's name for it is "bacterial SSU rRNA". It matches the Rfam family "Bacterial small subunit ribosomal RNA", at positions 1081 to 1382 of the family's 1533-position model. The record is from RNAcentral.